RNAcentral lists this ribosomal RNA (254 nucleotides) under uncultured bacterium. RNAcentral describes it as "partial small subunit ribosomal RNA". It matches the Rfam family "Bacterial small subunit ribosomal RNA", at positions 26 to 285 of the family's 1533-position model. The record is from RNAcentral.
AGGACGAACGCUGGCGGCGUGCUUAACACAUGCAAGUCGAGCGGAAAGGCCCUUCGGGGUACUCGAGCGGCGAACGGGUGAGUAACACGUGAGCAACCUGCCCUUAGCUUCGGGAUAGCUCCGGGAAACCGGAAUUAAUACCGAAUAUGAUUUUGUCUGACAUCAGCAGAAGUGGAAAGUUUUUCGGCUAGGGAUGGACUCGCGGCCUAUCAGCUAGUUGGUGAGGUAACGGCCCACCAAGGCGACGACGGGUA